RNA transcript from Epinephelus fuscoguttatus (brown-marbled grouper), 4734 nucleotides. RefSeq lists it as uncharacterized. The transcript is spliced from 4 exons. The record is from RefSeq and is a predicted model, not a curated record. NCBI's taxonomy places the organism in Eukaryota, Metazoa, Chordata, Actinopteri, Perciformes, Serranidae.
CUUCAAACUGUCAGAAAAACAGGAAGUGAAGGGAGGGCGGAGAGAUCUCAGAGUUUGAUACUCAUAAUACGAUAUAAAAUACACGUUAACUGAACCCCAAAAGGAAAUUCAUGUAUAGCUGCAGCAACUCAGUGAAGAAGAUAAAUGAUUACAACAUGUGAUGUAGUAUGCACUGCAUGCUGACACUGCUGACAAUGAACCCUUCUGACAGAAUACAAGAACAUCUUUACUGAUGCAAAUGUGUUUAUUUCUGUCCUCGUAACUUCAGAUGGACUUACAGCCUCUAAUAUAAUCAAAUCUUAAACAAUAAGUACAAUUCAUUGACACAUCAGCACAGAGGAACAGUUUCUAUUGUACUCAAGAGUUUACUGCAGUCAGUAGAUUAUGAGACUGUUUCCGGGAAACCACAGGGUCUCCACUCCUCUGCUGAUAUAAAAGCUGAGCACCUGUUCUCUCUGCCUCCUCAGUAUCCGGGACCAUCAACACAGAGAACUCAUAUGAAGGUGCUCCAUCCUUAUCCUCCUGUGAAACUGUUACCAUGGCAACGAAAGUCUCAUCCAAAUAUGACCACAUCACCUGCAAAGUUCUGAUCCGACCAGGAUCUCCAAAUGUUUACAGGCUGAAACCAAAGAAAGAGAAUAUUGGAACUCUGAAAAGAAUGACUCUCGGUGAAAAGGAUCCAAGCAAGUUAAACAAAACCAUCUUGCUUGUUGGUGCAACAGGAGCAGGAAAAUCUACUCUGAUCAAUGCUCUGGUCAACUACACCAUGGGAGUGAAGUGGAAGGACGAUGUCUGGUUUCAGAUCGUAGAGGACGAGGAGAAAAGUCAAUCAGAAAGUCCAACAUCAGAUGUGACUAACUCUGAGGGUGAGAAGAAAAGUCAGUGUGAAAGUCAGACAACAGAUGUGACUGACUUUGAGGGUGAGAAGAAAAGUCAGUGUGAAAGUCAGACAACAGAUGUGACUGACUCUGAGGGUGAGAAGAAAAGUCAGUGUGAAAGUCAGACAUCAGAUGUGACUGACUUUGAGGGUGAGAAGAAAAGUCAGUGUGAAAGUCAGACAACAGAUGUGACUGACUCUGAGGGUGAGAAGAAAAGUCAGCGUGAUAGUCAGACAUCAGAUGUGACUGACUCUGAGGGUGAGAAGAAAAGUCAGUGUGAUAGUCAGACAUCAGAUGUGACUGACUUUGAGGGUGAGAAGAAAAGUCAGUGUGAAAGUCAGACAUCGGAUGUGACUGACUUUGAGGGUGAGAAGAAAAGUCAGUGUGAAAGUAAGACAUCAGAUGUGACUGACUCUGAGGGUGAGAAGAAAAGUCAGUGUGAUAGUCAGACAUCAGAUGUGACUGACUUUGAGGGUGAGAAGAAAAGUCAGUGUGAAAGUCAGACAUCGGAUGUGACUGACUUUGAGGGUGAGAAGAAAAGUCAGUGUGAAAGUCAGACAUCGGAUGUGACUGACUUUGAGGGUGAGAAGAAAAGUCAGUGUGAUAGUCAGACAUCAGAUGUGACUGACUCUGAGGGUGAGAAGAAAAGUCAGUGUGAUAGUCAGACAUCAGAUGUGACUGACUUUGAGGGUGAGAAGAAAAGUCAGUGUGAAAGUCAGACAUCGGAUGUGACUGACUUUGAGGGUGAGAAGAAAAGUCAGUGUGAUAGUCAGACAUCAGAUGUGACUGACUCUGAGGGUAAGAAGAAAAGUCAGUGUGAAAGUCAGACAUCAGAUGUGACUGACUCUGAGGGUGAGAAGAAAAGUCAGUGUGAUAGUCAGACAUCAGAUGUGACUGACUUUGAGGGUGAGAAGAACAGUCAGUGUGAAAGUCAGACAUCAGAUGUGACUGACUUUGAGGGUGAGAAGAAAAGUCAGUGUGAUAGUCAGACAUCAGAUGUGACUGACUCUGAGGGUAAGAAGAAAAGUCAGUGUGAAAGUCAGACAUCAGAUGUGACUGACUUUGAGGGUGAGAAGAAAAGUCAGUGUGAUAGUCAGACAUCAGAUGUGACUGACUCUGAGGGUAAGAAGAAAAGUCAGUGUGAUAGUCAGACAUCAGAUGUGACUGACUCUGAGGGUGAGAAGAAAAGUCAGUGUCAAAGUCAAACAUCAGAUGUGACUGACUUUGAGGGUGAGAAGAAAAGUCAGUGUGAAAGUCAGACAACAGAUGUGAUCGUGUACGAGAUCUUUGGUUUUGAAGGUCAAAUUCUGCCCUGCUCUCUGACCAUCAUCGAUACUCCUGGAUAUGGAGACACCAGAGGAACUGAACAUGAUGUCAUCGUCAGUGAAAGGUUAUUAGACUUGUUCCGCUCAGACGAUGGAGUUCAUGAGAUUGAUGCAGUGGGUCUGGUGAUGAAAGCAAGUGAGAAUCGACUGAGUGACCGACUGAGGUACAUCUUUGAUUCAGUUGUGUCUCUGUUUGGAAAAAACAUGGAGAAGAACAUUGUUGCCCUCAUCACACACUCAAAUGGUGUGACACCUGAAAAUGUCUUCAAAGCUCUUGAGGCUGUAAACAUUAAAUGUGCCAGAGAUGACGAGAAUGAGCCAGUUCAUUUUAUGUUUGAUAACUGCCAGAGCACACAGAAAACAAAGAAAAAUAAGGUUCCUCUAAAAAAUGCAUGGAGCUUAACAGAGGACCAAAUGUGUCAAUUCACUGAUUUCCUGCAAAACACUUCACGUCAGAACCUGAGAACAACUGUUGAGGUGUUGAAUAGACGCAUCAGACUGACGGCCUGCAUCCACAACCUGCAAGAGAGAAUUGAGUUUAUUGAACUGAAACAGAGUGAAAUCCAGCAGACUCAGGAAGCUCUGAAGAAAUAUGAACAAGAAGAGAUGAAGAACAAUGAAGAGUUCACUGUAGAAGUUGAUGAGGUCUACAAAGAUAAAGAACCUGUCAGUGAGUGGAGAUGGUGGGCACUUGGGUUAAAUUAUGGAGGAGCUGUCUGCUGCACUGUCUGCAAGGAGACCUGUCACUAUCCAUGCACACUGGCCUGGUAUCCAGAACACUGUAUGGUCAUGAAAGAAAAAUGCACUGUAUGUAAGGGCAAGUGUUCUGUAUCAGCUCAUGAGAAAAAAUUAUACUGCACUGUCUGUACCGGGAAGUGUCCUGCAUCAGUUCAUGUGAAAGAUAAACAGUGCACUGUAUGUGAGGAUGACUGUUGUGUAUCAGGUCAUGAGGAAGGCAAACAAUGUCCUGUAUGUAAGGGUGAAAAAAAGAAAUCAGAUCAUGAUAAAAAAAUGUGGAAGUAUGUGAGCAAGACAAGGAAAGUUCAGAUGACCAUACAAGACAUGAAAGAGAAGUAUGAAAAGGGUAAAGCAGGCUGUGAGGAGUCAACAAGCCUUCUGGAAACUCUUCAGAAGAACAUCGAGGAACUUGAGAAAGAAAAAGAUCAGUGGCUGGAAGAAGCGUUCCAGCAUGUUGAGAGUCUGGAGCAGCUCGCCCUGAAUGUUAAGUCACUGUCCACUUUGGUCCAUUUGGACUUCCUGAUUGAGAAGAUGAAGGAGAAAGGAGACACAGAGAAGGUCACGAGACUGGAAAAGAUGAAAGGUCAAAUGGAUAAAAAUGAAAGAAUCAAAGCAGCACUGUCGUACAGGUUUGGUAGAGUAAAAGCAGCUCGUAGAGCAAUUAAAGCAGCAGAGAAGUAAGUUGUAGAUGAACAGAAAGAUAAUGGGGGGUCAGCUGUGUAGAAAACACAGUCUACAAUGUUGGUGAAAUGUGUUUCAUUCUGUAUAUAUUAAGUGUGAUGUUGAUGUAAUAACUACAUAAGAACAUUCAAAUGUAAUCACCUUUUAAAUAUCAGAUGUGUAAUUCCUCAAACAGCGCCCUCUGUGGUAUUUAAUGGCUGUUUUUUUUGUUCUUCCAGUUUAACUUUACUGUACAGAUUAGAAAACUGUUUGGAGCAACAGCUCUGGAUUUAAAUGGAGUGAGGACGCCCCCUGCUGUUUGAUGUUGAGUACAGCAGCUCCCCUCCUCUAUCUUUAAACAAGACAUUUAUUUUUCUUUAGUUUCCUUAUGUAGGUUCAUUGUUUUUAAGGUUUUCUAAUGUGUUUUUCAGUCAGUACAAGGCUGUGAUUCAUUCUGAUGUUGACAGAAGUCUCAUUAAACUGGUGGUGGGACAGUAACACAACACUGAGACAUAUAUGAUAUAAACUGUACUGAACAUAUAAAGUAGUUAACCAUGAUGCUUCCUUCUCAUGUUAAUCAGUUUGUACAGAGGAUGUCACAGAAUUUAGACACAAUGUCUGAUGUAUUUACAUUUGAUUUAUAUUCUGAUCAAUGUUAUUAUAUACUAUAUAUCCUGGUGUGUUGAUGUGUAUUCAUGCACAUCUAUAUAUCCCGGUGUGUUGGUGUGUAUUCAUGCACAUCUAUAUAUCCUGGUGUGUUGAUGUGUAUUCAUGCACAUUUAUAUAUCCUGCUGUGUUGAUGUGUAUUCAUGCACAUCUAUAUAUCCUGCUGUGUUGAUGUGUAUUCAUGCACAUCUAUAUAUCCUGCUGUGUUGGUGUGUAUUCAUGCACAUCUAUAUAUCCUGCUUUGUUGAUGUGUAUUCAUGCACAUCUAUAUAUCCUGGUGUGUUGAUGUGUAUUCAUGCUUGAGAUGACUAGUUAAAAUAUUUCAGAUGACACAGCUCAUUUAUGUUAUACUGUGUCUUUAACAAGCCAUAUUAUCAGUGAUUGAUAUAUAUUCUGAUGUUCUACAUGAAAUCGUCCUGACUGGAGCCGUUUUCUGUGAAUCAUUAAUAAAACCUCUGCUUGAUGAA